RNAcentral lists this ribosomal RNA (395 nucleotides) under uncultured bacterium. RNAcentral describes it as "bacterial SSU rRNA". It matches the Rfam family "Bacterial small subunit ribosomal RNA", at positions 505 to 898 of the family's 1533-position model. The record is from RNAcentral.
GUGUCAGCAGCCGCGGUAAUACGGAGGGUGCAAACGUUGCUCGGAAUUAUUGGGCGUAAAGCGCGCGUAGGCGGUUCGUCAAGUCGGGUGUGAAAGCCCUCGGCUCAACCGAGGAAGUGCAUUCGAAACUAGCGAGCUAGAGUACUGAAGAGGAUGACGGAAUUCCCGGUGUAGAGGUGAAAUUCGUAGAUAUCGGGAGGAACACCAGUGGCGAAGGCGGUCAUCUGGGCAGAUACUGACGCUGAGGCGCGAAAGCGUGGGGAGCAAACAGGAUUAGAUACCCUGGUAGUCCACGCCGUAAACGAUGGAUGCUAGUCGUCGCGGGUAUUGACCCCUGCGGCAACGCAGUUAACACGUUAAGCAUCCCGCCUGGGGAGUACGGCCGCAAGGCUAAA